This is a long non-coding RNA of Coregonus clupeaformis (lake whitefish), 883 nucleotides long. RefSeq lists it as uncharacterized. The record is from RefSeq and is a predicted model, not a curated record. The transcript is spliced from 8 exons. NCBI's taxonomy places the organism in Eukaryota, Metazoa, Chordata, Actinopteri, Salmoniformes, Salmonidae.
AGUCUCAGUGCCUGAGGAUCAUCGUCUGUACCUGGCCUGCAGUGGCACUGUUGACUUACAGUGGAGACACCAGGUCAACGGGAUCAUAGUCAUCAAACAAGGCCAGUCGGUUGCUUACCGGAACCACCAGAAAUAUGACCUCCAGCCUGAUGGAUCUCUGGUUAUAGAAGAGCUGGAGCCAUCUGACUCAGGGGACUACCACUGCAACGACCAGCUAGUGGCAGACGUGGAGGUACUGAAAGGCCAAAAGUUUGCUGUUUCUGCUGGCAGGACCCUAUUGCUGCCCUGUAGAGUAUCUAGAAAAGCCAAGCAGAGGUGGUUCUUCAAGAAAGAUAGUCAUGCGAAACAGGAACCCAUUUCGACUCUGUUAAAAAAUGGAACCGUGAAAAGGGAGAGUGAGGACCCGCAGAACAGGUUUUCCUAUGAUGAAGAUGGAGCCCUGCAGAUCCUCAAUCUGCAGCCAAGGGACUCUGGAGAGUAUCUGUGUAAUGGGGAAACGGCAGCUAAAGUAACGGGGUUGACAGAUCACCUCAACAUCCAGAGUACCACUGCUGUUAUGUAAACAGAUGAUGUUGGGAGAGCGAACAAAGAGACAGGCCCUACAAAUGUUGUGGUGAUGAUAGCUGUCAUUGGACUAUGCGUCGUGGUGCUUUUGGCUGGUAUGCUGUACCUUUUGCUGAUAGGCAGACUGAGCAAAAGAAGAAAGAAUUGCAGUACAGUGACAGGACACAAGCAGGAAGGAACUGAACUCCAGACUAGGUGCUUGUCAAAUCUAGGGUCUGAGAUCACACAGGGAGAUGGGCAAGAUGGCAUUUCUCAUGUGGAAGACAAUGAGGUUCAGUAUGCAUCUCUGGGUCGGCAGAACUGGAGGGAAAGAUCGAGG